Molecule: ribosomal RNA, 253 nt
Filed under: uncultured bacterium
Lineage: Bacteria
Description: partial 16S ribosomal RNA
Rfam family: Bacterial small subunit ribosomal RNA
Source: RNAcentral
UACGGAGGGGGCCAGCGUUGUCCGGAAUUACUGGGCGUAAAGCGCACGUAGGCGGACUGUUAAGUCGGGGGUGAAAUCCUGGGGCUCAACCUCAGAAGUGCUUUCGAUACUGGCAGCCUUGAGUACGGGAGAGGUGAGUGGAAUUCCAAGUGUAGAGGUGAAAUUCGUAGAUAUUGGGAAGAACACCAGUGGCGAAGGCGGCUCACUGGCCCGUAACUGACGCUGAGGUGAGAAAGCGUGGGGAGCAAACAGG